Hirundo rustica (Barn swallow) is the source of this 1334-nucleotide long non-coding RNA. RefSeq lists it as uncharacterized. The record is from RefSeq and is a predicted model, not a curated record. The transcript is spliced from 3 exons. NCBI's taxonomy places the organism in Eukaryota, Metazoa, Chordata, Aves, Passeriformes, Hirundinidae.
AGUGUCGUGGCAGGCAGUAGUGGUCAGAGUGCUGCUGCUGCUGCUAGUGAGUGAUUUCAGCUCUUUUGUGAAAUCAGCUCUUUGGGGCGAUGCAGAAGGGAAGAGACAAAGCCUUCAUGUGGAGUUCUGCAGGAGGCUUUAUUCAGCUUCCUCUUCAGAGAGGACUAUGGACGAAAAAACAGAAGGAGCAGGGGUUUAUAUAGAAAGACAGGGGCAGGGCAAGACAUCAGGACCAAUCAUCUGAGGGCUCAGGGGUGGAGCAAGGGUGAAGGGCCAAUAGGAUACAAAUAAUCUACAUAUAAACAGCAAAGCAUGUUGGGGUAACACUUUUGCUCUCUGUUGCUACAAAGGCUGUCAGUAAGAGUUUCUCCCUCUAGGGGAUUGCAGCAGCUUUGAGGCUGAGGGCUGCUCUCUCUUCAGGGAACUGUGGUUAAGUUAUUACUUGGCUUACCAGCCUCCACAGGAGGAGUGCAACUUCCUGAAAUUCCAGGUUGUGUCGAGUAUGAUACUUCAGAUUUUCAGCAGAUUCAUCAUGUCAGAAAAGAGACCUGCCCCAUGUCAAAGAUGAUUUCGGAGAUCAAGACUUCACUUCCAAUGGGUCAGCUCUGCCAUGGAAAUAGAGCAACUAGCCAUCAGCGCCUAUGCUCUUGCUGCUGCAGACAUGGAAAACACCAACUAGAUCAUCCGUAUCUCCUCCAGCACUGGAAGUAGCAGGGAAGUGUCUGCAGUAGGAUAUUUGCUUGCUGGAAUAAGUGGAAACAAACAAGGAUUCUGCAACGAGCAAACCAACAAGCACACAAACCCAGAGUUGAGGGCAGUGUUCCCUCUGCAAACCGAAGCUGGUAGUUCUUUACAACUCUGACAUGGAAAAAGAGCAAAUAGCCAUCAACACCUUUGCUCUUGCUGCUGCAGAUAUGGAAAACACAAACUAUAACAUCAGAAUCUCAUCCAGUAUUGGAAUUAGCAGGAAAGUUGCUGCACUAACUAACUAAUGUUUGCUUGCCGGAACAGGUUGAAACUAAUAAGACUUGUGCACCUGUAAUAGUUUUCACUUUGAAACUGGGUGGAAACACCAAUUAAUGUAGUGGUUUCACAUUCACUAAAUUCUGGUCUUAGUACUCACUUUUUUUCUGUGGGAGAGAGACUAGGAGAAAAACAAAGCAGGCUUAACUUUAAAGAUGAACAAAUAGUUUUAUUGACACACACUAAAAGAAUGGAAAAAGAAAGUUGGGAAGAAACUAAAACAGAAUGAAACUUUAAAAACACUCUUCCCUCCCCUUAUAAAUUGUUUACUUUCCUACAAAACAACAUAAAGAGACAAAACUUGUAAUUUU